ACCCCCUCCCAGAAAGGGAAUUGUACAAGCCCAAGGCCCUCAACUAUAGAAGUAAAAAGUAAGUUUUUAGAUACACAGACUCAGAACUAAAAUAAGCCUGGAAAAGUUCAGAUGUGUCCAAGCUUUGUGGGACAAGCUGACCCAUCAUUUAGACGAAACAGACCAUAAAAGAAAACAAAAUACAGAAACCAGACUAAAUUAUGGACAUUGCUCCAUGGGCCACCUGGCAGGAAAAAGAAACAGUCUCUGACUCCCCAGAAGCCCUGACCACCAUGUACUUUUUGCUAUCUCACUGUUAUGAUUAUAGCCAAAAUAGGUAACAUACACGUAUGCCUCAUUUACUCCACGAAUCACAUCCCUGUAACCAUGCAUCUGCUUCUGUAAGCCUGCUUCUGCUCCCCAAUGCCCUAUAAAAACCCGUCCCUGGUUCUGCUAGGCGCGCCAGUCUUCCAAAUUGACUGGGACGCCCACAGGUACCUGUGUAUCCUGAUCAAUAAAAAUCCUCUUGCAGAUUGCAGCCUGUGGACUCGGACUGGUCAUUGGGCUCGAGGAUCUCCCUCCUGAGGGAAGAUUCUCUCUGAGAGUCUUACAUUAUGGGGGCUCGUCCGGGAUCGGAGAUCCUCUGCCUAGAGACCGCUGACCACCCACCGGGAGGUCUUCUUCACCACUGAGGAAAGACGGAAUCCUACUAGAGGCCAGAAAGAAUGUUCCAGACAUGGAUGGAAGACCCUCACUCCUGACUGUUGACUUGAAUACCCCUGAAGCCCAUCAGCAGAGGGGCCUGCUGACAUCUGAGGGCAAGAAAAAAAAAGAAGGGCCCUCCAUGACCCAGCCAGGCCGAGGAAGAGACUCUGGUACACCUCAACGAGAAAGAAGAUCCUGCUACAAUUUUUACAGACAGAGGCCAUGGUAAAACAAAUGCAUCAAUAGACUCACUUAGGGGUAAGCAAACUCAUCCAGACAUUUUCAAAAACUAAAUAUUAUGUCACAGGUCUCAAGUAUCUCGUGGAACAGAUAGUGCACUGAUAUAUACCAUGCCAAAAGGUAACUGUUUUCAGGAAAGUUGACUGUGGUAGGAGGCUCUGUGGGGAACGGCCUGGAUACUACUGAGAAGUGGACGGGAGAUAAAACCAGGAAAAUAUGGUUAUAAAUGUCUCCUAGUGUUUAUAGAUAUCUUUUCAGGAAUAGAUAGAAGCUUUCCCCACCAAGCAAGAGACGGCCUCAAGAAGAUACUGGAAGAAAUCUUCUCCCUGUUUGGAGUGCCCAAGGUAAUUGGGUCAGACAACAGCCCUACUUUCGUUGCCAAGGUAAGCCAGGGUGUGGCCAGGUAUUUAGAGGUUGAUUGAAAAUUACGUUGUAUUUACAGACCUCAAAGUUCAGGACAGGUAGAGUAAAUAAAUAAAAUUUUAAAAGAGACCCUGACCAAAUUGACCAUGGAGACUGGCACAGACUGGGUGACACUCCUUCCCUCUUGCUCUCUUCAGAGCAAGAAAUAUCCCUUCCAGAUUCAGCCUUAUCCCCUUUGAGAUCUUAUAUGGGGCCUCAGCUCCCCUGACUGUAUUAGAUGAUGUUACUGAACCAACAUGUCAUAGUAAUAAUGAUUUGUAUGCCAGGCUAAAAGACCUACAGGUGAUACAGAAAGAAAUCUGCUCGAGGGCCCAGGAGCGGCAGGACCCCUGCCACAGACACCGCCGGACCCUGAAGGAAACAGACCGGAUAAACAGUUCUCUGCACCCAAAUCCCGUGGGAGGGAGAGCUAAACCUUCAGAGAGGCAGACAGGCCUGGGAAACCAGAAGAGACUGCUCCCUGCACACACAUCUCGGACGCCAGAGGAAAAAGCCAAAGACCAUCUGGAACCCUGGUGCACUGAAGCUCCCGGAAGGGGCGGCACAGGUCUUCCUGGUUGCUGCCGCUGCAGAGAGCCCCUGGACAGCACCCCAGAGCAAACCUGAGCCUCGGGACCACAGGUAAGACCAAAUUUUCUGCUGCAAGAAAGCUGCCUGGUGAACUCAAGACACAGGCCCACAGGAACAGCUGAAGACCUGUAGAGAGGAAAAACUACACGCCCGAAAGCAGAACACUCUGUCCCCAUAACUGACUGAAAGAGAGGAAAACAGGUCUACAGCACUCCUGACACACAGGCUUAUAGGACAGUCUAGCCACUGUCAGAAAUAGCAGAACAAAGUAACACUAGAGAUAAUCUGAUGGCGAGAGGCAAGCGCAGGAACCCAAGCAACAGAAACCAAGACUACAUGCCAUCAUCGGAGCCCAAUUCUCCCACCAAAACAAACAUGGAAUAUCCAAACACACCAGAAAAGCAAGAUCUAGUUUCAAAAUCAUAUUUGAUCAUGAUGCUGGAGGACUUCAGGAAAGACCUGAACACACUUAGGGAAGCACAGGAAAACAUUAAUAAACAAGUAAAAGCCUACAGAGAGGAAUCGCAAAAAUCCCUGAAAGAAUUCCAGGAAAACACAAUCAAACAGUUGAAGGAAUUAAAAAUGGAAAUAGAAGCAAUCAAGAAAGAACACAUGGAAACAACCCUGGAUAUAGAAAACCAAAAGAAGAGACAAGGAGCUGUAGAUACAAGCUUCACCAACAGAAUACAAGAGAUGGAAGAGAGAAUCUCAGGAGCAGAAGAUUCCAUAGAAAUCAUUGACUCAACUGUCAAAGAUAAUGUAAAGCGGAAAAAGCUACUGGUCCAAAACAUACAGGAAAUACAGGACUCAAUGAGAAGAUCAAACCUAAGGAUAAUAGGUAUAGAAGAGAGUGAAGACUCCCAGCUCAAAGGACCAGUAAAUAUCUUCAACAAAAUCAUAGAAGAAAACUUCCCUAACCUAAAAAAAGAGAUACCCAUAGACAUACAGGAAGCCUACAGAACUCCAAAUAGAUUGGACCAGAAAAGAAACA
Molecule: non-coding RNA, 2908 nt
Organism: Rattus norvegicus (Norway rat)
Lineage: Eukaryota; Metazoa; Chordata; Mammalia; Rodentia; Muridae
Source: RefSeq, a predicted model, not a curated record